RNAcentral lists this ribosomal RNA (253 nucleotides) under Rhodospirillales bacterium. Its description in RNAcentral is "partial 16S ribosomal RNA". It matches the Rfam family "Bacterial small subunit ribosomal RNA", at positions 524 to 776 of the family's 1533-position model. The record is from RNAcentral. Lineage: Bacteria; Pseudomonadati; Pseudomonadota; Alphaproteobacteria; Rhodospirillales.
UACGAAGGGGGCGAGCGUUGUUCGGAUUUACUGGGCGUAAAGGGCGCGCAGGCGGUCUUGUUUGUCGAGUGUGAAAGCCCCGGGCUCAACCUGGGAACGGCGCUCGAAACGGCGGGACUAGAGAUCGGGAGAGGAGCGUGGAAUUCCCAGUGUAGAGGUGAAAUUCGUAGAUAUUGGGAAGAACACCGGUGGCGAAGGCGGCGCUCUGGACCGAGACUGACGCUGAGGCGCGAAAGCGUGGGGAGCAAACAGG